RNAcentral lists this transfer RNA (71 nucleotides) under Candidatus Pacearchaeota archaeon. RNAcentral's name for it is "tRNA-Trp". It matches the Rfam family "tRNA". Rfam says of the family: Transfer RNA (tRNA) molecules are approximately 80 nucleotides in length. Their secondary structure includes four short double-helical elements and three loops (D, anti-codon, and T loops). Lineage: Archaea; Nanobdellati. The record is from RNAcentral.
GGGUUAGUGGCGAAAUGAUAUCGUGUCGGUCUCCAGAACCGAAGUUGGGGGUUUGAUUCCCUCCUAGCCCA